RNAcentral lists this long non-coding RNA (245 nucleotides) under Setaria viridis. RNAcentral describes it as "long non-coding RNA (SVIR_LNC011223)". Lineage: Eukaryota; Viridiplantae; Streptophyta; Magnoliopsida; Poales; Poaceae. The record is from RNAcentral.
UGGGGUAGGUGAGAGUGCCUCCAUCAUUGUUCCCGUGAUCACAAAAUCAACCAUUAGUGUAAAUGAAACUUAUAAACUCUCCAAAUCAUGUUUAGAUGCUUAAUCCUCCUCUGAUUUCGAAAAUUAAAAAUUAGCUUAGAGCUAGCAAUGAGUUCAAAUAAAUAUUAGAGGAGUUUUGUAGCAUCGAAAACAUUUGUAAGUUGAAAGGAUUUCCAACUACAUUAAUUUUGGUUGCACCGGUAUCA